RNAcentral lists this ribosomal RNA (430 nucleotides) under uncultured bacterium. RNAcentral's name for it is "bacterial SSU rRNA". It matches the Rfam family "Bacterial small subunit ribosomal RNA", at positions 8 to 423 of the family's 1533-position model. The record is from RNAcentral.
AGAGUUUGAUCCUGGCUCAGAACGAACGCUGGCGGCGUGCCUAACACAUGCAAGUCGAACGGAGUGAAGGAGCUUGCUCUUUCAUUUAGUGGCGCACGGGUGAGUAACGCGUAGAUAAUCUGCCUUGGACUCUGGGAUAACAUCUCGAAAGGGGUGCUAAUACCGGAUAAGCCCACGAUGGCGUAAGUCAUUGCGGGAAAAGGGGGCCUCUGAAUAUGCUCCUGAUUCAAGAUGAGUCUGCGUACCAUUAGCUAGUUGGUAGGGUAAGAGCCUACCAAGGCGACGAUGGUUAGCUGGUCUGAGAGGAUGAUCAGCCACACUGGAACUGGGACACGGUCCAGACUCCUACGGGAGGCAGCAGUGGGGAAUUUUGCGCAAUGGGGGAAACCCUGACGCAGCAACGCCGCGUGAGUGAUGAAGGCUUUCGGGU